AUGUGGGUCGUUGGAGUGGCUGCUGCAAUUUUAAUGUAUGAGUGUCUGAGUAUCAUUUCAGGAGAGAACAAUGAGAAACUGUCGGCGAGGACUGAAGUGAAACUCAAAGUCUCAUGCCGUUGCCUUUACCGAGCAACACAAUUCACGGGGAGGUGUUUUGCCGAGAGACAGUUCGACGAGGCAGAGCUCUUGAGGAUCAGAAACCAGUUGAGCCUCUGCCUAGUUGCCAUGGAAACUGGAAUAGCGAACAACCUGAGAGCAGGCUGUCCUCUUCAGCAAGGCCCUCCCUCCCCGCCAAACAUCAAACCCCCACAGGAAGCUCUUGCGGUUCUUGAUUUUCAUAUUUUCCCGAGGAGCCUGAUGUUAUUCUGGGCACAGGCAGGUGAGGAAUGAGCUGGAGAUUCACCUCAGAUAUUUUUCCCCUCCAAAAAUCUGUUUUGAUGUUUCAUCUUUUCUCCGCCUCAAAGUUGUUUUUCUUUCAGGACGUUUUAGCAUUUAAGCUGAAUGUACAGCGGGUUUUAUACGCGCUCUAUUUAAAUCCAGCAGUCGGCUUUCGGUUGGA
RNAcentral lists this long non-coding RNA (562 nucleotides) under Lepisosteus oculatus (spotted gar). RNAcentral's name for it is "lncRNA (ENSLOCG00000022680.1)". The record is from RNAcentral. Lineage: Eukaryota; Metazoa; Chordata; Actinopteri; Semionotiformes; Lepisosteidae.